This 484-nucleotide ribosomal RNA is filed under the name uncultured bacterium. RNAcentral's name for it is "partial 16S ribosomal RNA". It matches the Rfam family "Bacterial small subunit ribosomal RNA", at positions 28 to 507 of the family's 1533-position model. The record is from RNAcentral.
AUUGAACGCUGGCGGCAUGCUUUACACAUGCAGGUCGAACGGCAGCGCGGGCUUCGGCCUGGCGGCGAGUGGCGAACGUGUGAGUAAUGCAUCGGAGCGUGCCCAGUAGUGGGGGAUAGCCCGGCGAAAGCCGGAUUAAUACCGCAUACGACCUGAGGGUGAAAGCGGGGGACCGAAAGGCCUCGCGCUAUUGGCGCGGCCGAUGUCGGAUUAGCUAGUUGGUGGGGUAAAGGCUUACCAAGGCGACGAUCCGUAGCUGGUCUGAGAGGACGACCAGCCACACUGGGACUGAGACACGGCCCAGACUCCUACGGGAGGCAGCAGUGGGGAAUUUUGGACAAUGGGGGCAACCCUGAUCCAGCCAUGCCGCGUGCGGGAAGAAGGCCUUCGGGUUGUAAACCGCUUUUGUUCGGGAAGAAAUCCUCUGGGCUAAUACCCCGGGGGGAUGACGGUACCGGAAGAAUAAGCACCGGCUAACUACGUG